AUUGAACGCUGGCGGCAUGCCUUACACAUGCAAGUCGAACGGCAGCACGGGUGCUUGCACCUGGUGGCGAGUGGCGAACGGGUGAGUAAUACAUCGGAACGUACCUUAUCGUGGGGGAUAACGCAGCGAAAGCUGUGCUAAUACCGCAUACGCCCUGAGGGGGAAAGCGGGGGAUCGCAAGACCUCGCGCGAUUAGAGCGGCCGAUGCCUGAUUAGCUUGUUGGCGGGGUAAAAGCCCACCAAGGCGACGAUCAGUAGCUGGUCUGAGAGGACGAUCAGCCACACUGGGACUGAGACACGGCCCAGACUCCUACGGGAGGCAGCAGUGGGGAAUUGUGGACAAUGGGGGCAACCCUGAUCCAGCAAUGCCGCGUGAGUGAAGAAGGCCUUCGGGUUGUAAAGCUCUUUUGUCAGGGAAGAAACACCGGCUCUAACACAGUCCGGGAAUGACGGUACCUGAAGAAUAAGCACCGGCUAACUACGUGCCAGCAGCCGCAGUAA
RNAcentral lists this ribosomal RNA (501 nucleotides) under uncultured bacterium. RNAcentral describes it as "partial 16S ribosomal RNA". It matches the Rfam family "Bacterial small subunit ribosomal RNA", at positions 29 to 523 of the family's 1533-position model. The record is from RNAcentral.